UCCGUAGGUGAACCUGCGGAAGGAUCAUUAACAAAUUCAAAACUCAUCUUCUUGCACACGCCACAGGGUCGUCGUCUCAUCACAGAGGGGCCGGCAUUGGUGUGCAAGGCCAGACUGUGCUUCGGUGCAGUCUGUGAAUAGAUAACAACAACCUUAGACAACACACCAAGUAGAACUUGAUAAUCGUAAACAACUUUUAACAAUGGAUCUCUUGGCUCUUGCAACGAUGAAGAACGCAGCGAACUGCGAAACGUAAUGUGACCUGCACUCUUCGUGAAUCAUCCAAUCUUUGAACGCACUUUGCACCUUGUGGCCCAUGUCACAAGGUAUACUUGUUUGAGUAUCCGAAACAUCUCACCUCCCUCUCGGGGCGAAGUGGACUUGAGACUCGAAGCACACUCUUGUGUGUGCAUCGUUUCUUUAAAUGCGUGGCUGUUUUUGGAUAGACUCUGUUGGGUCUGACCGGCUAUUGGGAUAACAUCCUGACGAUCGCCAGUCAGACCAUUCGGCAUUGACUAUCCUGGCCAUAGUUCGGACGGCGUGCUUUUGCGAGCAACGACGUCCACCAACAACAGUAUAUAUGGAUCUCAAAUCAAGUAAGGAUACCCGCUGAACUUAAGCAUAUCAGUAAGCGGAGGAAAAGAAACUAACAAGGAUUCCCCUAGUAACGGCGAGUGAAGCGGGAAGAGCUCAAAUUUAAAAUCUGGCAUCCUUUGGGUGUCCGAAUUGUAAUUGAGAGGGUUUCCUUUUGACGAAACCGAUGGCCAAAGUUCUCUGGAAAGGGACAACAAAGAGGGUGACAUUCCCGUCUGGGUCAUUGGCGUAGUCAGUAUAAAGGAGGCUCUAAGAGUCGGAUUGUUUGGGAAUGCAGUCCAAAAUGGGUGGUACAUUUCAUCUAAAGCUAAAUAUUGGCAAGAGACCGAUAGCGCACAAGUACCGUGGGGGAAAGAUGAAAAGAACUUUGAAAAGAGAGUUAAAUAGUACGUGAAAUUGUUAAAAGGGAAACGCUUGAAGU
RNAcentral lists this ribosomal RNA (1015 nucleotides) under uncultured fungus. RNAcentral describes it as "eukaryotic LSU rRNA". The stretch from base 583 to 1015 matches the Rfam family "Eukaryotic large subunit ribosomal RNA", at positions 1 to 429 of the family's 3401-position model. The record is from RNAcentral. Lineage: Eukaryota; Fungi.